GCGCAUGAGCAUGCUAUGCGGGGCCGCAGGUUCAUCAAUUAUCUUCCUCAAUGAGUAGCAGUCCUUGGAUGUGAAGCAGGAGGCUCACGCAAAUCCCGUUGUGGACUGGACGCCACAUCUUUAUCAGGUUUUUACUGUCUUUCUUUUCUUGAGAGGACCUACGGCAGGCAAAUUGCCAACGAAGAAGAUAUAUUAAGGUAUGCUUAGCGCGCGUUUGCAUGCAUGCAAGAUUAAG
This 235-nucleotide long non-coding RNA is filed under the name Setaria italica (foxtail millet). RNAcentral's name for it is "long non-coding RNA (SITA_LNC003838)". Lineage: Eukaryota; Viridiplantae; Streptophyta; Magnoliopsida; Poales; Poaceae. The record is from RNAcentral.